AACGAACGCUGGCGGCGCGCCUAAUACAUGCAAGUCGAGCGAGAAGACGUAGCAAUACGUUUGUAAAGCGGCGAACGGGUGAGUAACACGCGGGUAAUCUGCCCUCGAUUCUGGGAUAGCCCGGGGAAACCCGGAUUAAUACCGGAUAGCCUCUCGAGCUUACGAGCUCUUGAGAAAAGGUAGCUUCGGCCUCCGAUCGAGGAUGAGCCCGCGGCGGAUUAGCUAGUUGGUGGGGAAUGGCCUACCAAGGCAACGAUCCGUAGCUGGUCUGAGAGGACGAUCAGCCACACUGGGACUGAGACACGGCCCAGACUCCUACGGGAGGCAGCAGUGGGGAAUCUUGCGCAAUGGGCGAAAGCCUGAUCCAGCGAUGCCGCGUGUGUGAAGAAGGCCUGCGGGUUGUAAAGCACUUUC
RNAcentral lists this ribosomal RNA (414 nucleotides) under uncultured bacterium. RNAcentral describes it as "bacterial SSU rRNA". It matches the Rfam family "Bacterial small subunit ribosomal RNA", at positions 29 to 437 of the family's 1533-position model. The record is from RNAcentral.